ACGCUCGACACCUACAGGCAGCAGUGAGGAAUAUUGGUCAAUGGGCGCAGGCCUGAACCAGCCAAGUAGCGUGAAGGAUGACUGCCCUAUGGGUUGUAAACUUCUUUUAUAUGGGAAUAAAGUUUUCCACGUGUGGAAUUUUGUAUGUACCAUAUGAAUAAGGAUCGGCUAACUCCGUGCCAGCAGCCGGCGGUAAUCUGAGGCGGGCUGGCGAAGGC
This 218-nucleotide ribosomal RNA is filed under the name uncultured bacterium. RNAcentral's name for it is "partial 16S ribosomal RNA". It matches the Rfam family "Bacterial small subunit ribosomal RNA", at positions 326 to 539 of the family's 1533-position model. The record is from RNAcentral.